UAAGAGUGGAGUCCAGAUCCCACUAUAAAAACGGGGCGUCACCGAAAAGCCAAAUGAGUAGGUAUUAA
Molecule: non-coding RNA, 68 nt
Filed under: unclassified sequences
Description: DUF805 RNA
Rfam family: DUF805 RNA
Source: RNAcentral